Molecule: ribosomal RNA, 1187 nt
Filed under: Acinetobacter haemolyticus
Lineage: Bacteria; Pseudomonadati; Pseudomonadota; Gammaproteobacteria; Moraxellales; Moraxellaceae
Description: bacterial SSU rRNA
Rfam family: Bacterial small subunit ribosomal RNA
Source: RNAcentral
CGAAAGGAAUGCUAAUACCGCAUACGCCCUACGGGGGAAAGCAGGGGAUCUUCGGACCUUGCGCUAAUAGAUGAGCCUAAGUCAGAUUAGCUAGUUGGUGGGGUAAAGGCCUACCAAGGCGACGAUCUGUAGCGGGUCUGAGAGGAUGAUCCGCCACACUGGGACUGAGACACGGCCCAGACUCCUACGGGAGGCAGCAGUGGGGAAUAUUGGACAAUGGGCGCAAGCCUGAUCCAGCCAUGCCGCGUGUGUGAAGAAGGCCUUUUGGUUGUAAAGCACUUUAAGCGAGGAGGAGGCUACUUGGAUUAAUACUCUAGGAUAGUGGACGUUACUCGCAGAAUAAGCACCGGCUAACUCUGUGCCAGCAGCCGCGGUAAUACAGAGGGUGCGAGCGUUAAUCGGAUUUACUGGGCGUAAAGCGUGCGUAGGCGGCUUCUUAAGUCGGAUGUGAAAUCCCUGAGCUUAACUUAGGAAUUGCAUUCGAUACUGGGAAGCUAGAGUAUGGGAGAGGAUGGUAGAAUUCCAGGUGUAGCGGUGAAAUGCGUAGAGAUCUGGAGGAAUACCGAUGGCGAAGGCAGCCAUCUGGCCUAAUACUGACGCUGAGGUACGAAAGCAUGGGGAGCAAACAGGAUUAGAUACCCUGGUAGUCCAUGCCGUAAACGAUGUCUACUAGCCGUUGGGGCCUUUGAGGCUUUAGUGGCGCAGCUAACGCGAUAAGUAGACCGCCUGGGGAGUACGGUCGCAAGACUAAAACUCAAAUGAAUUGACGGGGGCCCGCACAAGCGGUGGAGCAUGUGGUUUAAUUCGAUGCAACGCGAAGAACCUUACCUGGUCUUGACAUAGUAAGAACUUUCCAGAGAUGGAUUGGUGCCUUCGGGAACUUACAUACAGGUGCUGCAUGGCUGUCGUCAGCUCGUGUCGUGAGAUGUUGGGUUAAGUCCCGCAACGAGCGCAACCCUUUUCCUUAUUUGCCAGCGGGUUAAGCCGGGAACUUUAAGGAUACUGCCAGUGACAAACUGGAGGAAGGCGGGGACGACGUCAAGUCAUCAUGGCCCUUACGACCAGGGCUACACACGUGCUACAAUGGUCGGUACAAAGGGUUGCUACCUAGCGAUAGGAUGCUAAUCUCAAAAAGCCGAUCGUAGUCCGGAUUGGAGUCUGCAACUCGACUCCAUGAAGUCGGAAUC